Molecule: small nucleolar RNA, 138 nt
Organism: Ornithorhynchus anatinus (platypus)
Lineage: Eukaryota; Metazoa; Chordata; Mammalia; Monotremata; Ornithorhynchidae
Source: RefSeq, a predicted model, not a curated record
CACCUCUCAGGGUUGCACCUGGAGCAUUUCCAGUACUCUUCCAGUCUCGACUACGGGAGGGAGAGUCAAGCAGAGACGUAUCCAUUCCAUUCCUAGCUUGGGCAGUGGCUAGAGAGUGGAAAGCGAUCUGCUACAAGU